GGGGAAUAUUGGACAAUGGGCGCAAGCCUGAUCCAGCCACGCCGCGUGAGUGAUGAAGGCCUUCGGGUCGUAAAGCUCUGUGGGGAGGGACGAACGGCGCCAUGAAGAGUGGCGAUUGACGGUACCUCCUUAGCAAGCACCGGCUAACUUCGUGCCAGCAGCCGCGGUAAUACGAAGGGUGCAAACGUUGCUCGGAAUCAUUGGGCGUAAAGCGCACGUAGGCGGCUUUCUAAGUCGGAUGUGAAAUCCCUCGGCUUAACCGAGGACGUGCAUCCGAAACUGGGAGGCUUGAGUAUGGAAGAGGGUCGCAGAAUUCCCGGUGUAGAGGUGAAAUUCGUAGAUAUCGGGAGGAAUACCAGUGGCGAAGGCGGCGACCUGGGCCAAUACUGACGCUGAGGUGCGAAAGCGUGGGGAGCAAAC
RNAcentral lists this ribosomal RNA (420 nucleotides) under uncultured bacterium. RNAcentral's name for it is "bacterial SSU rRNA". It matches the Rfam family "Bacterial small subunit ribosomal RNA", at positions 356 to 773 of the family's 1533-position model. The record is from RNAcentral.